GCGGUUGUGGUGAAAUGGUAGACACGCUACUUUGAGGGGGUAGUGAGCGUUGGCUCAUGGGAGUUCGAGUCUCCCCAACCGCA
RNAcentral lists this transfer RNA (83 nucleotides) under Bacteroidota bacterium. Its description in RNAcentral is "tRNA-Leu". It matches the Rfam family "tRNA". Rfam says of the family: Transfer RNA (tRNA) molecules are approximately 80 nucleotides in length. Their secondary structure includes four short double-helical elements and three loops (D, anti-codon, and T loops). Further hydrogen bonds mediate the characteristic L-shaped molecular structure. tRNAs have two regions of fundamental functional importance: the anti-codon, which is responsible for specific mRNA codon recognition, and the 3' end, to which the tRNAs corresponding amino acid is attached (by aminoacyl-tRNA synthetases). tRNAs cope with the degeneracy of the genetic code in two manners: having more than one tRNA (with a specific anti-codon) for a particular amino acid; and 'wobble' base-pairing, i.e. permitting non-standard base-pairing at the 3rd anti-codon position. Lineage: Bacteria; Pseudomonadati; Bacteroidota. The record is from RNAcentral. RNAcentral also lists the same sequence under 3 other names.